This is a long non-coding RNA of Gymnodraco acuticeps, 451 nucleotides long. RefSeq lists it as uncharacterized. Lineage: Eukaryota; Metazoa; Chordata; Actinopteri; Perciformes; Bathydraconidae. The record is from RefSeq and is a predicted model, not a curated record. The transcript is spliced from 3 exons.
CUUUACCACGCUUUUUAUUAAUUAAAGUACCAAUUUGAAAACAUCUCAGAGACUCCAUUUAGUCUCCUUUUUAAGCUUCUCUUUCCUGGACGCGAGAAUAACCAUCACAGUUAACAGAGCUUGAGUGGGAGCGGUUGCGGCUGGUGUGUGGGACACUGAUUGCCGAGCGCACGCGGCUCCGUUCGGAUGCUUGGCUUAGAUCCAACUGCUGAAACGUGGAUGGCGGGUAGCCGAUGUCGAAGAGAUCUUCGUCUGACUCCGGUGAGUUGAUCAGCAGUUCGGAAUCCAUGAGACGGUCUGUCGACAUCAUCGAAUCAGGAUGUUUGUUCUUAUCUGGGGGAUUCUGCUCUCAUCAGUUUGGGGAAAACAACCCUGUCAACUUGGAAACUUCUGUAUCACUCUUAGUGAAGCAGAUAUAACAGCAGAGGCUGGACUCUGUGUCGUGAUACCG